GAUGAACGCUAGCUACAGGCUUAACACAUGCAAGUCGAGGGGUAGCAGGGUAGCAAUACCGCUGACGACCGGGGCACGGGUGAGUAACACGUAUCCAACCUACCGUUUACUCGGGGAUAGCCUUUCGAAAGAAAGAUUAAUACCCGAUAGUAUAAAGAGUUCGCAUGUUCUCUUUAUUAAAGGAUUCCGGUAAAUGAUGGGGAUGCGUUCCAUUAGAUUGUUGGCGGGGUAACGGCCCACCAAGUCUUCGAUGGAUAGGGGUUCUGAGAGGAAGGUCCCCCACAUUGGAACUGAGACACGGUCCAAACUCCUACGGGAGGCAGCAGUGAGGAAUAUUGGUCAAUGGGCGUUAGCCUGAACCAGCCAAGUAGCGUGAAGGAUGACUGCCCUAUGGGUUGUAAACUUCUUUUAUAAGGGAAUAAAACGGGGAACGUGUUCCCCUUUGCAUGUACCUUACGAAUAAGGAUCGGCUAACUCCGUGCCAGCCGCCGCAGUAA
This 497-nucleotide ribosomal RNA is filed under the name uncultured bacterium. RNAcentral describes it as "partial 16S ribosomal RNA". It matches the Rfam family "Bacterial small subunit ribosomal RNA", at positions 28 to 523 of the family's 1533-position model. The record is from RNAcentral.